GAAAGCGCCGUACGAAUAAAUCAGUUCUUCUCAAACUCAUAAACCCUAAAAUCCCAUACGAACUUCCGCUCCCAUUAAUUUCAUCCUCUCAAACUCUCAAUCCCUAAAAUCCCAAAUCGAGCUUCUUCGACGUUACUGCCUUUGUCAUCGAGAGGGAAAAUCACAAUUCUAAAAUCCAAGUUCAUAAUUCCAGAAUCAUCACCUCAACUUGCCACCACAGCCACAACCAGCUAGGAGUUACUUGUGAAGAGUGAAGUUCAGAUCGUUUCUAAGAAUCUUAUAGUGUGUGGUUCCAGAAGCUGUUGACUUUCUCUAUAGACUCCAACAAAAUCCAAAGCAAAAGAUAAGGGGAUUCCGCGGAAAAUCGAGUCAGUUGCAACAAUAAAAGAGUUUUCCGAGCACAAAGAGGUAAUCAAGUACUAAAGAGUAAAUCCAACAACAUUACAUGGAUUAUAAUGGAGUGUCCUGGGCCGCGUAAUGAAAUAGAUUGCGGUUUUUACAUGUUGAAGUUUAUGAAAGAAAUUCUUCUUAUGGAUCGAAUAGAGAUUCCAUCCAAGUACUUUGAUGAAUUCAAGCAUGCUUAUUACUCAAGUUCUCAAUUGGAUGAACUUUAGGAGGAUUGGUGUAAAUUCAUGAUUGAGUCGAAAGUUAUAUAAGGUUAUAUGUGCAGAUGUAGAAGAUAGAGAUGAAUAGAUUUUGUAAUGGUAUAAUGGUGCAAAAAAAAUGUGGCAUAUCUUUUGGUGUUGUUUUUUUGUAAAAGUAUAUGUACAAGAGUAAUAGUAUAUAUAAGUACAUUGGUGCAAUUGUAUAUGGUA
This is a long non-coding RNA of Vicia villosa (hairy vetch), 815 nucleotides long. RefSeq lists it as uncharacterized. The transcript is spliced from 7 exons. The record is from RefSeq and is a predicted model, not a curated record. Lineage: Eukaryota; Viridiplantae; Streptophyta; Magnoliopsida; Fabales; Fabaceae.